GGCAAGUGCACUCUGCGUCAAAUUUGAAUACAGCCUCAUUUGAUGCAAUUUUUUAAACUUGCCAAAAUUAAUUGGUUGGCAAACUGUUAUUCAUUGAUUUAGUCACAUCACGACUUUAUCAAUUGUAUAGGAAUUGUCACAAU
This is a small nucleolar RNA of Musca vetustissima, 143 nucleotides long. RefSeq annotates it as small nucleolar RNA psi18S-841/snoR66. The record is from RefSeq and is a predicted model, not a curated record. The transcript has a single exon. NCBI's taxonomy places the organism in Eukaryota, Metazoa, Arthropoda, Insecta, Diptera, Muscidae.